RNAcentral lists this long non-coding RNA (1726 nucleotides) under Homo sapiens (human). RNAcentral describes it as "HSALNT0217948". The record is from RNAcentral. Lineage: Eukaryota; Metazoa; Chordata; Mammalia; Primates; Hominidae.
GAGAGAGAUCAUGUGGUAUCUGCCUUUCUGUGCCUGGUUUAUUUCACUUAGCCUUAUGUCCUCCAGGCUCAUCCAUGUUGCUGUGAAUGACAGGAUUUCAUUCUUUUCCCACGAGUUUUUAAUCUUGUUAAGGACAUUUUAACUGUCAUUAACUACAGUGUAUAUUGUCUCUGCUUCUAGACUGUCAUCUCCUCAAGGACUAUGUGUUUUAGCUAAAUUCCUUGCAUGCAGUGGGCCUUAGAAGCUGGGCAAUUUCAGAAAUGAAAAUCACACUGUGAAAGUUAUUCACAGUUUAGUAUUAAGUGAAAGAAGUUAAGUGGGAAGCUAAUUUGCUCAUUUUAAAAAAUGGGGCUACUUGGGAAAAUAUUUUAAAUGGCAUUUUAAGUGUUGGGAUUUCAGGUGAAAUUUCUUAUCUUAUUUUUGUUUUUUGGUUUUCUUCAUUUUCUGCCAUGAAUAUUAUUUGUUUUGUAAUGAAAAGGUAUAUAUAAAAAAUUGAUUGUGAGUUCAAACAAUGCUAUCUGUCAGCAUUAAGCAUGAAAGUACACUAAAGAAACAUUUUGGUCUUGGUUUGGCUGCUAUUUUACAAAAGCAUUCACUAAUUUUUUUUUUUUUUUGAAUGAGAAAACAUUUAUUCCAUCUCCAAACAGCAUCCCAGGGCCGGGCAUCUCCCCUACGACUUUAUAAUACACUCGGCACAGACAGAGUUUGGGAGCCAUGGGACACCUCUGCCCUCCCCAGGCUUCCUAAGUAACAACUGCAGAAUAUUUACAUAAAGCUGGGUGUUGUCAGGCAAAGCCAUUCCCUGCUGCCAGGGGUGGGAGCAAGAAGGAAGUGCCAUGAGCACCAGCCCCGCCUUCACACCGUGGGAGGCAGCCCAGAGGCCACCGGCACAGGGUGGUGGCCCCCAGAUCAUACAGCAGUGGACACAGGGGAAGCAAACCUGAGUGAGGACACAAGAGCCUGGUCCGGCUCCGCUGCACAGGAGAAACAUAAUUGAGGUGGAAGGAUCCAGAAGAAAGGAACCAGUGAUGAUGAGGACAGAGGGCUCUCCACGGGAAGGUGGGAGAGAAUUUAGUUCUCUGUGCCGUGAAGAUGGGAUUGGAGCCAUACAUUGGAGAUGAAGAGAGUCCUUCCAUCCAUCUGCUGGACCUGCUGGGCCUCAGGGCUUUCUCUGAAGUGGUAGGGGGAAGAUGUCACAGAGGAAAUGUAAAGAAAAGUCUACCUCGGCAGUCUACAGCGUGGUGGAUAAAAAAAGAGCAGGAAGAGUCUGGCGAGGCGAUCAGCCUGAUGUAGUACCUGAGGAAGGCAAGAAAGGAUAUAAAGAAAAUAAGAAACAACACUUUCUCUGCACAUCCAAAUUGUGGCAAGGAUUUUUGCAGAUUGCCACCAGUUCACUGAGAGGAGUCAUUGAAAACAUGGCAUUGAGGACAGAGACUGCCACUUCAGAAUUUUCUACAUCCAACUGCUGAAGCCACUCGAAGAUAUUUCCCUCAGAGAACCAUAACCAGCUUUGGAGAAGAUGCUUCCACAUAGCUUGUUUCACAGCAUCUCAUCUCUCAUUAAAACCUUGUUGAGGGAGCAUUACUGUCUGAGCAAUGGACAUAGCUCUCAUACGAACCUUUUCAGCUAACACCGGAUAAGCCAGCUUUCUGACAGCCUCUUUCACAUCCUUGGUGCACCCUACAAUUUUUGGCAAAGUCUUUGCUGAUGGUGCAAUACAUGAUAA